This 429-nucleotide ribosomal RNA is filed under the name Bacteroidota bacterium. RNAcentral's name for it is "Bacteroidetes bacterium partial 16S ribosomal RNA". It matches the Rfam family "Bacterial small subunit ribosomal RNA", at positions 355 to 776 of the family's 1533-position model. Lineage: Bacteria; Pseudomonadati; Bacteroidota. The record is from RNAcentral.
UAGGGAAUCUUCCGCAAUGGACGCAAGUCUGACGGAGCAACGCCGCGUGAGUGAAGAAGGAUUUCGGUUCGUAAAACUCUGUUGUUAGAGAAGAACAGCGCAUAGAGUAACUGUUAUGCGUGUGACGGUAUCUAACCAGAAAGCCACGGCUAACUACGUGCCAGCAGCCGCGGUAAUACGUAGGUGGCAAGCGUUGUCCGGAUUUAUUGGGCGUAAAGCGAGCGCAGGCGGUCAAUUAAGUCUGAUGUGAAAGCCCCCGGCUCAACCGGGGAGGGUCAUUGGAAACUGGUUGACUUGAGUGCAGAAGAGGAGAGUGGAAUUCCAUGUGUAGCGGUGAAAUGCGUAGAUAUAUGGAGGAACACUAGUGGCGAAGGCGACUCUCUGGUCUGUAACUGACGCUGAGGCUCGAAAGCGUGGGUAGCAAACAGG